This 305-nucleotide ribosomal RNA is filed under the name uncultured bacterium. RNAcentral describes it as "bacterial SSU rRNA". It matches the Rfam family "Bacterial small subunit ribosomal RNA", at positions 335 to 655 of the family's 1533-position model. The record is from RNAcentral.
AGCCCUACGGGACGCAGCAGUGGGGAACAUUGGGCAAUGGGCGCAAGCCUGACCCAGCAACGCCGCGUGAAGGAAGAAGGCUUUCGGGUUGUAAACUUCUUUUAAGAGGGAAGAGAAGAAGACGGUACCUCUUGAAUAAGCCACGGCUAACUACGUGCCAGCAGCCGCGGUAAUACGUAGGUGGCAAGCGUUGUCCGGAUUUACUGGGUGUAAAGGGCGUGCAGCCGGGAAGACAAGUCAGAUGUGAAAUCCCGCGGCUCAACCGCGGAACUGCAUUGGAAACUGUUUUUCUUGAGAACAGGAGG